RNAcentral lists this long non-coding RNA (2047 nucleotides) under Homo sapiens (human). RNAcentral's name for it is "non-protein coding lnc-IL2RA-6:1". The record is from RNAcentral. Lineage: Eukaryota; Metazoa; Chordata; Mammalia; Primates; Hominidae.
GUUCAUGUGUCUUAAUUCUUGAUUCAGAAAAGCUAUCAACUGUAUUCUCCAUAUCUCAAAGUUAACGUGUCCAAAAUAAAAUGUCUCAUCUUCUCAUGCCAUCUAGUUCUUCCCGCAGUGCUCCCAUCUUGUGAAUGGGGAUGGCCUCCUACCAUGGGUUGGGGCCCCAAACCUUGAGGCCGCCCUGCUCCUCCUUUUCCCUCCCCUCAUCUUCAGUGGCUUGGUACAUCCCAUCAAGAGAUAUCGGAAUCCCUGCACGCUGCCAGGGUCCUUCUGCUGGUGCCCUCCGACCAUCAACUGGAAGAGUGAAGUCGCCCCCAGUAGUCUCUCUUCUUCUGCACUUGCUCCUUACAGUCCUCUCAACACAGGGACCAGGGUACCCCCUUUCUAGGUGUAAAUAAGUCUGCUCUGCACUCAAAGCUGAAGACAGCACGUAGACCCCUCGGGCGGUGUCCUACCUGAACUCCAAGUUCUCACCAUGGCCUGUGGACAGCCCCAUGGGCACACCCACCUCGUCUGUCUUCUCUACCCCUUGCUCAACUCCACGCAGCCCAUCCGCCUUCCCAGAACGUGCUUGGCAGCUCCGACCUCACACCCAUGUUUCGGCCGGGAACGUUCACCUGCCAUUGUCUGUGUGACUCAGUCCUCUCCUCGUGCAGGUCUUUACUCAACGUCAUUUCACAGAGACCCUUCAGGACCAGCAAAGCCCUCCCUGCCGCCCCACCCAGCACUCCCCACCUCCCUCCUCUGCUUAGUUUGUUUCAUGGGAGUCACCUGGUGUAUUUCAUAUUAUAUUCUUCUGCUUUCUUGUCUGUCUCGUGCAUCUGGACCUCUGCACAAAGGAUGGGUUUUGUCUCUUUGGCUGACUGCAGUGUCCUAAGACACUUAGUGCCUAGUAGCUCUAGUAACUGUUUGUUGAAUGAAUGAAUGAGUGAAUGGAUGCAUAGUCACUAAAUCAGAAAUCGUGGAUACUGUAAUCAUAGAACAUUAGGUCAUAAAUACCAAGGAUCCUGAGGAAGAAGAAGAAAGAAUAUCUAUGAUUUGGACAGCCAUUUUUCCAAUUGUGGAACAUUGUUUAGCAUUUCAAAUAAUGAAAAUAAACACAUAUAGAAGGCUUACUAUGUGCUGGGCAUUGUUCUGUUUUAUACAUAUUAACUCGUUUAAUCUGUGCAAUGCACGUAGGAGUUUAUGGAGUUUCCUCAUACCUUAUCUCAUUCAGUUCCCAAAAUAAUACCAGCAGAUUGUGGGUGAUUACAACAUUUUCAAGGAUUCUUCCCCAGGGCAGCUGCUUGUGGGAGAGCUGAGGUCUAGAAAGGAGGAGUUGAGAGCAGGAAAGGAACCAAGCCUGACCCCACCCCCAUGCCAGCAUUUUGAUUUAUGGAACCCUGGGAGAAGAGUUUCUCCAAAAUGAUACUUCAUGGCCUCCAGCAGAUCCCCCUCAAAGAAACCAACCUGGGAAUGACCCUCUGUGUGGAGAUCAAGGAGGAAAGAGGCAAGUGAGCCUUUCUUUUCUCCUGCUCGUGGACUUAGAGUAAGAGUGUCUGGGACAUCCAGGUAUAUACUAUUUCCAUUUUUCCUUUUGACAUCUUCGAUGAUCAAGAUACCUGCUAAGGAUUUGUUCAGAAAUCAGAAUUAGUUGUAAGGCAGUUGCCUGAACAACUGAAAGCGUAAUGACCCCACAGAGAGCACUAAGGCAACAGAAAGUACGGCGAGGUGGGAUUAUUAGGUUGGUGCAAAAGUAAUUGUGGUUUUUGCCAAUACUUUUAAUGGCAAAGUUUUUUUAAAAAGUAUUUUUAGUAGAGGCAGGGUUUAGCCAUGUUGAUCAGGCUGGUCUUGAACUCCUGACCUCAGGUGAUCCGCCUGUCUUGGCCUCCCAAAAUUCUGGGAUUACAGGCAUGAGCCACCAUGCCCAGCCUUUUUUUAAAUUUCCAUUACUUUUAAUGGCAAAAACUGCAAAUUACUUUCACACCAAAUUAAUAGGAUAUUUGAUGAGUUUUAAUAUAAUUAUCGUUUUUACCACAAUUGACCUUCCCCUACUCUUACCCUC